CAGCUCGUGCCGUGAGGUGUUGGGUUAAGUCCCGCAACGAGCGCAACCCUUGUCGCUAGUUGUAUUUCUCUAGCGAGACUGCUGUGAACAACACAGAGGAAGGCGGGGAUGAUGUCAAGUCAGCGUGGCUCCUACGUCCAGGGCUACACACACGCUACAAUGGCCGGUACAACGGGUCGCGACGUCGCGAGGCGAAGCUAAUCCCUUAAAACCGGUCUCAGUUCGGAUUGCAGGCUGAAACCCGCCUGCAUGAAGUCGGAGUUGCUAGUAACCGCAGGUCAGCCUUACUGCGGUGAAUACGUUCUCGGGCCUUGUACACACCGCCCGUCACAUCAUGGGAGUGGGUAACACCUGAAGUCGUUGCGCCAACUUCGGAGGCAGACGCCGAAGGUGGGACCCGCGACUGGGAUGAAGUCGUAACAAGGUAGCCGUAGCGGAAGCUGCGGCUGGAUCACCUCCUUUCUAGGGA
This 469-nucleotide ribosomal RNA is filed under the name Chloroflexota bacterium. Its description in RNAcentral is "bacterial SSU rRNA". It matches the Rfam family "Bacterial small subunit ribosomal RNA", at positions 1056 to 1533 of the family's 1533-position model. Lineage: Bacteria; Bacillati; Chloroflexota. The record is from RNAcentral.